CCCCACCCCACCACAUCCACACGCUCUCUCAAACACACUGCAGGCUGCACUUCAGCUCCACAAGACAGCAUGCGCAAAGUUCGAGCAACAGGUCACCAGUUGAAAGUCUCAACUAACAAAUAGUGAUAUGGAUCACGGACACGAGAUACAAGCCUAAAUUUUUUUAAUGACUCGAAAAACCCAAACAUGUUAGCUGUCCUGCGGGGGAGAAGGUUGUGAACAGGAGGAUGUUCUAGAUGAUGCCUACAUCUACAUCUUUACUCCACUGGAACAGAUCUGGAUACGGUUCAGGCAUUCUCAAUAAAUCCAAGGGACAUUGCAGAAUCAGUGAAAGACCACAUCCAACAGGACGGACAAACAUUCAAUGUGCAAAAGGCAAGAAGUGUGCAAAUACAAAAGGAAACAGAAAUAACAAUAAUAAUAAAUAUAUAAGCAAUAAAUAUCAAGAACAUGAGAUGAAAGUCCUUGAAAGUGAGUCCACAGGUUGUGAGAACAUUUCAGCGAAGGAACGAGUGAAGUUAUUCCCUCGGGUUCAAAAGCCUAAUGGUUGAGGGUUGAGAAAUGAAUGGAUUCCGCUUAAAAGUGUGGGGAACAAAAAUUAACCUGUGACCCAUGACAUUCUUGCAGCAAAGUGUGUUACAAUCAAUCACAGAUUCUUGUGGAAAGGGCCAAUUUUCGGAUACAGACCUUGCAGCACACCAGGGAAAUCCAAUGACGAGGAAUUAUUUCAUCUCAAACACCAUUCUCAGGAAUCUCAACCAUAAGCGGUGGACUAAAAUCCCAGUUGGGUUCCAAAAUCUUUUGUUUGGAGUAUGAUCAAGAAAACGAGGCCCUUGUUUUCAGAACCGAGAUACAAAGUCAGUGACUUGGAACAGGGAAAUGUACCACCUUUCUCAGUGGCAGCAGAUUUCAGAGUGUUUUAACAUUUGUGUAAAAGAGCACUGCAAACUCUAACUAAGCAAUGUCAAGCAAUGUUAAAAAUGACAACUGUAGAUGUAGAAAUUUUGACCACUGUUGGAACGGCCCUCUUCAGAAUAAUGUCACAGGAUUUUUCAGCACUCCUACUGAAAGAAAAAGAUGGAUCACAAUGUGUCUCCUCCAAAAAAUUCCACAAAGCAAAGCAAUGGGGAUGACUGGGAAGGAAAGAUUUGAAACAGAAAGGGAAAAAUCUACAGCUCUGUUUCAGCCAAAGUAAAUUCACUGUUAAUCAAGCAAUCUAGAGCCCAAAACUUAGAGCAGCUUUUAUUAGUACACUCUACUUAGAGGUCUAGCGGGACUGAAAGUUCACUGGCCCAAGGCUCAUGUACAGGGCCACCUGGCUUGAGAGACAGGAACCUUUAAAUGCACAGUCAUGACACAAAGGAGCCUUUGUCCUUCUCAUCCUGCUUGGUGAUGGGACACCUCCUAAAAAAGAAGAGAAAGAGACCCAAAUAAAAGUUGAUUUGCAGAGGGGAGAGCUCAAAACAGGUGUGUUGCAUAACUCAUUGCUCAAAGUGUGCUUUCGUCAAUUCAUACAUAGCAGACAGCUCAUUCUUUGGGAAUUGAGUCCCAGGCAACUGCCGACACAAAUUGACAAAUCUGGCUCGGGAGAGGAGAUGCCUUCUUUUAUCAAAAGGAAGAGUUUAUGAAGCCCAAAAACAUGUAGGUUUAUUUUCCCCUUGCUUACCAGAACUCUUGCAUUGCUAGUUAAGUAUGUU
Molecule: long non-coding RNA, 1697 nt
Organism: Hypanus sabinus (Atlantic stingray)
Lineage: Eukaryota; Metazoa; Chordata; Chondrichthyes; Myliobatiformes; Dasyatidae
Exons: 3
Source: RefSeq, a predicted model, not a curated record